AGUUGUGGGGGUGCAUGUAKGCAUGAUCCUAGUGAUGCAAUACGUUAUAGCGUGUGAGUGGUAUUUGGUUUGUGUGGUUGGCGGGCUCUCUGCUUGUGCAUUGAACCGUUCACUAGCAUACCUCUUCAUUGUUUGCUCCAAGUGCAUCAUGUGCCUUGGGUGACGUGUGGUCCCUUUGUUGAAUUCCUAAUGACGGUAUUGAUGUUGUCCCUUAAAAWAKUGAUUUUCSCUKUACAUCCGUAAAGGGAGGUCGAGCGGACAGUGAAACUUGGUUYGUAAUCCACCCGUCAAGCGAAAACAAGCACGAUAGGACAGGAUUACRAUCUCAAGUUGGGCCCUUGGAUGCAGAACGUUGUGUGGGUGUUGAUGUUAAAUCGUCGYACACCCAAAGCGUUGUACGCUSACGAUGGAUGACAUUCGAGUGCGAGGUGACCCUUUCUUGAUUUAAAGGGCUCAUGCGUGCCGAUGUCUACCGAGGAGUGCUACCUGGUUGAUCCUG
This 499-nucleotide unclassified non-coding RNA is filed under the name Tecticornia pergranulata. RNAcentral's name for it is "partial external transcribed spacer". Lineage: Eukaryota; Viridiplantae; Streptophyta; Magnoliopsida; Caryophyllales; Amaranthaceae. The record is from RNAcentral.